Non-coding RNA from Phasianus colchicus (ring-necked pheasant), 3445 nucleotides. NCBI's taxonomy places the organism in Eukaryota, Metazoa, Chordata, Aves, Galliformes, Phasianidae. The record is from RefSeq and is a predicted model, not a curated record.
GCACAGCCUCUAAAGGUUUCAGCUCAUUUACGAAUCUUCUGUAGGGGAGGAGGUAAUGAAACCACAUGUACCUGACACUCAACCUUGGAGAUCAGUGCCAUCUACUUAAAGCUGGUUGAGUGCCCGUCACCUGUUGUGUUGGAUCAGGAAUAUUUCAUUUUAGAGGCCAUGGAAACCCAAGUGCUCCUGUAGCACUGCACAACCAUGCGCUCUGUUAUGACAGGUCUGGAUUGUUGAUUUGCCCAUAGUAAAGCAGAUGCAGAAAACAACCUUUUCUUUCUGGUGAUUAUGUCAGCAGCCCAGCAGAGCUGUCACACAUCUAGGAAAGUAAACAUGAUGUCAAUGUGUAAUGAUAGGAGGAAAAAUAGAGAGAUUAUGUCCUUGUGUCAACGUGUAGCAGUACUGGAGCACUGCUUGUGUUUAAAUGUCUGCUGAUGCCAAUUCUGUUUACUAUUUUCCUUCCAGAUAUAAAGUGACAGAGCUGACUGCAAAACCAGUUCACGUUAGCACUGUACUUCAACAAAAAAAAUGCAUGCACAAGGUAGUCGGUUUUUCUAAUAACUGUUUCUAAGUAAUAAAUCGUGUAUAUACUGUGCUGUUUCUGGGCAUAAAUAAUGAUUACAUUCAGUGUUUUCAUCUCUGCAGUGCUCCCGGCGUCCGGCCCCGCUUCCCGCUCCGGGGAGAGGCCGGACUCUCACCGCGACCGCCAUGCAGCCCCGCAGCCGCCGGGGACCCGGGGUGGGAGGGCUUUGUGCCGGCGCCGCGGCUGCUCUCCGCCUUUCCGCGCUUCGUGGCACCGCCCUCCCGGGGGCGAGAAGACCGCCAGCCCGUUUCUCCCGCAGGACUGUGUCGCUGGUAACGGCGAGAGUGUUGCGUUGGCAGGAAGCCGGGGCGCGGCGGGGCCAUAGCUGGACGUAGGGCACAAAGAAGCAGCUCACUGCCCUUCCCCCGCCCGGGCUGGGCGAGUGCUUGAUAAAGCGUUCGGGAGAAGUUGGUGUCAGGGCUCCAGUGGCGCAAUCGGUUAGCGCGCGGUACUUAUACAGCAGUACUAAAGCCGAGCAAUGCCGAGGUUGUGAGUUCGAGCCUCACCUGGAGCACAGUGCUUUUUGAGAGAAAGAAAGGGCUUUUUUUGAGACUGCUCGUGAGGAGGAAAUGGAGGAACUGAUAAGCUUAUGGAAAAAUUAUAUGCGGGCCUCUAAGCGCGUCCCUGCUGCCACGGACGUGUCGAACCAUGUGGGUGGGUGGAUCCUUUCUGCUUGUUCUAGAAGCGGGGGAGAAGUGGACACACAGAGGGAGCACUUGCAUGGGGCACUUUUUCUAUACAUUCGGUUGUGUAGACACCUGCUUACGUAUGCUUACGUAGAUGCGCCUUUAAUACUUUUAUAGAACAGCUUUUUAGUGUGCAGUCAACGUUGUCCUGGUAAAGCUGUCUGUAUGUGCCUCCUUGCAGGAAGUAAAGGUUGCUUUAUAGUAGCUUAUUUAACACAGCGCCGCCUAUUGCCUUCUGCGAUCACUACAAGCGAUCCCUUCCUUCUUCAGUAUGCAUAUUCACCGUAACUGCUCACUAAUAUGAUAAUGUUUUGCAAAUGUGUAGUCCAGAGAAGGAAGGAAAAGAACUCAAAUAGUUUUAGAUUUGCUUUUAUAAUUGGAAAAGUGGCAACGUUGGAGAAAAAGGGCAGUUUCUUCUGGAAAGAAAAUUGGAAGAUACCUCUCAAGCAUUUAGGCCCAGAGCUUGUAAAAAUGCCUGUUAGCAUCUAUCUAACCUACUAUUACAGCACUGUAACUUAUAUAAAUAGUUAAUUAUUGAGAACCUUGGGAUUGUGCAGCCAGAAGCAUCACCAUUGCCCAAAUCAGCCCACAGGUGUGUUAUGCAGGCACCUAAUUCCUUGAAGCUUCUCUUCUAAUUCUAGUUCUUCAGUUACCACAUCUUCCCUCUCCUAGCGACCACCUUGGCUCCUCUGAAUUUUUCAGGAAACUUCACCAUUGAUUUCAGUGAUGGUACACUUGUGGCUGAGGUGUGCACCUUAUCAGCGUGAUGAGGCCUAAAUAAACAGAGUAGAGAUACAAUUCACCUGCUUGCUGUUUCAUGUUUCCUCCUUUGUGGAUGAGUACAUCAAAAUGAUGGGGAGUGAAGACAGGAUGGAGUAAUGUUUACAGAAGUGUUAAUGUAGUAAAAAAAAAAAAAAAAAAAAAAAAGAAAAGAAAGCGCUAUUUCUGUGCAACUGAAAAGGAGAAUAACAGAAAGCAUGUUGUUUGUGAUGGCAGAGGCAACCUGCUCCCAAGGUUGGACCCACCUUAUGAAGACCUGGGAAAAAUACAACUUCCUCCUCUUCCUAACAGGUGCCUUCUGUUUGUAAUAAAGGUUUUGGCUUGGUUUGCUGAGGGUGAUAGCGCAAUUUUUACCAUAUCCAAGGAGCACAAAAUGGACGCUACUUACUGCAUUCACAGCAGCGGCCCAGCUUCUCUGUAAUGUGCUUCUGCUGUACCAGAGAGCAGCAGGACAAGCAGUAAGAAUUGCACAAUGCAAAGACUCAAAGACCAAAAUUGCCAUGUGAGCAACACCUGUUUGCAUUCCUGCAGUAGAAGCUGACAUUCCUGAUUGCUUAACACAUGAGAGAGAUAUGAGAUGAGGAUUUCACACUGGAAGUCAUAUAAAAUCAGGACAGUUAAGGGGGAAUUCACUCAGCUUGCACAACAAAAGGAUGUUAUUUACCUGUGUAUAAUGGCUGUUUGUGAAACAAAUUGUACAGAACUUUUACAAAAGACUUAGUACAUCCUGAGGAAUGCUGGACCAUGAGAUAUCCUGUUUUCCUCUUGGUUUACAAAGAAAACUCAGUGUCAGGGGAAGACUGGGAUGUGCUGGACUAAUAAAUUUGUCUGAAGCCAAGAAUGACCCUGGUUUGGCUCUGGAAAGAGUACUGAGCAGCCAAGGACAUUUGGAUGGUCAAAUCCAACUCAGUAUGGUCUGCUGAGCCUGUUCCUUGCUUCUGCGAUGUCACUACUGACACCAAAUUACCUGCCUCUCUCUAGCUCCCCCCAUGGAUAUCUAAAGCUGAUAAAUGUGAGAACACAUGAACAAUAUUCUCGGUAUUUCUAUCUGAAGUAGGCUGUUCCAUAUCUGACAGUGUUUUUUCAUUUCCUAAGAAUAUUUUGGGGGAAAAAAAAAAAAAAAAAAGGUUUUAUUUGGUUUUCUGAUCAGCAGAGAAGUUAAAACAGGAAAUAUACGGGAUUUAAGGUUUUAUAACAUGAUAAUAAACCUCUUACUGCUUUAGUGCAUUUCUUGUAACCUUUUUGCAGAUUUGGUUAGUGUUUUAAGCCUUUGACUUUCAAAAUAUUUUUGUUAUUAAAAUUCAGUAAGCAAAUGUCAUUAAACUCUUGCUUUUGGAUAGUAUAUUCUUACACGCUGCUUAAUGGAAAACUAGGAGUAGAAUUUUCCUGCUAAGUU